RNAcentral lists this ribosomal RNA (389 nucleotides) under uncultured Nitrospina sp. Its description in RNAcentral is "bacterial SSU rRNA". It matches the Rfam family "Bacterial small subunit ribosomal RNA", at positions 29 to 410 of the family's 1533-position model. The record is from RNAcentral. Lineage: Bacteria; Pseudomonadati; Nitrospinota; Nitrospinia; Nitrospinales; Nitrospinaceae.
AACGAACGCUGGCGGUGUGCUUAACACAUGCAAGUCGAACGAGAAAGUUUCCUUCGGGGAACUAGUAAAGUGGCGCAAGGGUGAGUAACACGUGAAUAAUCUGCCCUCGAGACUGGGAUAACCUGAGGAAACUUAGGCUAAUACCGGAUAAGACCACAUUUCAUAUGGGAUGUGGGAAAAGGAGUCUCAAUCUUCACUCGAGGAUGAGUUCGCGGACCAUUAGCUUGUUGGUGAGAUAAAAGCUCACCAAGGCAACGAUGGUUAGCCGACCUGAGAGGGUGAUCAGCCACACUGGGAUUGAGAUACGGCCCAGACUCCUACGGGAGGCAGCAGUGGGGAAUUUUGCGCAAUGGGGGAAACCCUGACGCAGCAACGCCGCGUGACCGAUG